AUGGUGGACAAGCCGAGCCGGGCGCUGGUGUUGUACGCCGCCGGCCAUGCGGCGCUGCUCGCUGGGGGCGGAGGGGGGAAGGUCCAGCUCGACGCGUUCGCCUCCAUAGCCUCAUGCGGCUUCCUCUCCGUCCGCACCCUCGCGCGGACCGCCGGCCCCCGGCCCCAGGGCUCGUACAUCCAGCCGGCCACCGGCGACCUGCUCGCCGGUGAGUAUGUGCAGCAGCCUGAAGAGGCGCCUGUAGGCAGGGGAAGCCACCGGAUCUUGCAGCGCAGCGCAGUUGAGAUAACUAGCACAUGCUCACCACUCUUUAUGAAACAACAUAUCAGAUACUUCUUGAUUUGCUUGCCAACUAAAUGGUGCAAAUUACUUCAUGUACAGGGGAAUGUCCAGGAUGCGUCCGAAUUUGAUCUGGUGUUUGUGCAUGCCGUAAUGGAGAACACAGCCAGCAAGCUUGGGAAAUUAGGGAUGAAGACGAAUCUCAACCGGCUUGACAAAUUGGUGGCUUCAGUCAUGGAAGCUGCGCCGGAAUCAUCAUCCAAUGCUACUGGCACAGUGGCAACAAGGAGUACACGUUCUGAUUUGGCCAAGGAGUUAUCUUUUGAGGAAUUUAUAAAGGUAUGUGACAGAUUUAUUGCCCGUAAGCUUGUGCAACGGUUUUGUGACAAAGCCCUUGCGUUUGGUCUAAAGGGCUAUGCAAAGCUAUUCAUGAACUUUGUUAUCUUUGAAAACGUGAAAGUUAUCAAGCACAUUGGCAUCAACAUGUACCACAUUGUUUUUCCGUGUCAUUCUUCUGAAGAAUCUGAAGUUUCUAAAUCUCUGUUGGUAAUGCUGCAGGCUUGUGGUGGCGACACUGACGGUCGUCGAGAGAUUCGUGGACUGGAUGGUGUCGUGGCUGCCGAUGGAUUCCUUCGUCCACUGGUGGUGAGGCACGAGCACGACAUCGAUCGAGGCCUGCUGGAGCUGAGGGUCAGGGCGAGGGACGUGACGGCAUCACAACUCAAGGCGGCGGCCGCCGUUGGUCAGGUGUGGCUCGCAAGGUUGCUCGGUGUGUUUCAUCGCAGCUGCAGGCCACAUGAUCAGGCCGGGCAGGCUUUGCACAUUGACUAG
Molecule: ribosomal RNA, 1110 nt
Filed under: Triticum aestivum (bread wheat)
Lineage: Eukaryota; Viridiplantae; Streptophyta; Magnoliopsida; Poales; Poaceae
Description: partial small subunit ribosomal RNA
Source: RNAcentral